This 468-nucleotide ribosomal RNA is filed under the name uncultured bacterium. RNAcentral describes it as "partial 16S ribosomal RNA". It matches the Rfam family "Bacterial small subunit ribosomal RNA", at positions 28 to 507 of the family's 1533-position model. The record is from RNAcentral.
GACGAACGCUGGCGGCGUGCUUAACACAUGCAAGUCGAACGGAAAGGCCCUGCUUUUGUGGGGUGCUCGAGUGGCGAACGGGUGAGUAACACGUGAGUAACCUGCCCUUGACUUUGGGAUAACCUCAGGAAACUGGGGCUAAUACCGGAUAGGAGCUCCUGCUGCAUGGUGGGGGUUGGAAAGUUUCGGCGGUUGGGGAUGGACUCGCGGCUUAUCAGCUUGUUGGUGGGGUAGUUGCUUACCAAGGCUUUGACGGGUAGCCGGCCUGAGAGGGUGACCGGCCAAAUUGGGACUGAGAUACGGCCCAGACUCCUACGGGAGGCAGCAGUGGGGAAUAUUGCACAAUGGGAGGAAGCCUGAUGCAGCAACGCCGCGUGCGGGAUGACGGCCUUCGGGUUGUAAACCGCUUUCGCCUGUGACGAAGCGUGAGUGACGGUAAUGGGUAAAGAAGCACCGGCUAACUACGUG